UGAGUCUGUACGCCCUAACCCUAACCCUAUCCCCUCCCUAUCUGGCUACGAGGGUCCUUAGCCUCGGUAGGGCAGUCCCUGCAACUGAGUGGCUGUCAGGAGGUGUCUGUCCCGUCUCUCUCUUCCUCUUUCCCUCCGUUCUCUGAGCGAGUGCCCUAAGACAGUGAAGCUGUCGCAGCCAGGAGGUGACAGCAUCCCGCCGGAGAGGGACGGGGACCGCCGGCAGCGGGAGCUGCCGUAGGAUCUAUCUGGUGGGAGAGCCGUAUCCUACCCGGCUGAGAGCGGGGUCGGCUGCGGGUCGAGUCUGUCUCUUGCUCCUCGAAGCUGCUCGGAGAGGUGGAUGCCUGUUGUCUGAUUUGGGGCUCUGAAUUUGGAACAGUUUUUGGUUAUAUGCUUCCUGAAACUUGGAGAAUACCUGCAAUAAAUAGGAUUGGCCAUGAGAAUUUGUAACAUUCCUAUGGAAAUACAGUGAUGGGGCCGCUGAGAAGUUACCCUCUUUUGUACAGAUUGAAUUAAAAGCAUCCACUUCAGGAAACUACAACUGUGUUUAUUCGAGUGUUGAAUUUGGAAGUAGUACCGGGAUCUCUGCCACUUCACGCUUGAACCAUGAAGCCCAGGUCAGUUCCAUUUUUUGGUUUUCAUGUACUGGCACACCGUGCUGCAGUGUUUUGAGCUUCCAGGACUCAGUGGGAGCAAUUCUUCUUUUAAGAUGCAGAAAACAUCAUAUUUGGUUUUAUAACCUUGCCUCUUGUUGCUGCUUUUUUUUUUUUUUUUUUUUUUUCCCUCCUUUUUUACUACUAAACCAAAAUGUCAGGGUGGCAUGUCAGUAAACACAGUGCGUUCAAAAAGGAUCAUGCUGACAGGCUUGAAAACUAAACACUCUCUUUUAAACAGGCAGGAGCAGCUCCCAUUUUCCUGACUGCCAAGCAGGCUGUCCCUGGACCUGAGGGGACAGCUGUGCUUAAUCUGCCUAUCGCUCUGUCACUAUGACUGCCAGCAAUUGCACUGUAUAAUGCAGUCCUGGGAUGUGGGAGGAUAACAGGUUUCAAUCACUGUGCACUGAAGUUGACUUUGUGACUCAAAGGCUGCUGACUCAAUACCCUGUUAGUUUUUGUUCAGUGCGUCAACCUCUUUUCUACCUUCCAGCCUUCUUUGGCAUUAGGGAUUUUGUGUGUUUGUCAGAUUGCUAGGG
Molecule: long non-coding RNA, 1192 nt
Filed under: Coturnix japonica (Japanese quail)
Lineage: Eukaryota; Metazoa; Chordata; Aves; Galliformes; Phasianidae
Description: lncRNA (ENSCJPG00005019717.1)
Source: RNAcentral